CAAACCCGAAUACAUUCAGUUUGUUCCCGGAGCUCGUCUGGAGCACAACUCAUUUUGGAAAUAAAUAAUUCGAAAAUUAUCAAAAUUAAAUGUAAAAAGACGGAAUUUUAUAGGUACACUUGCUAGUGGUAUUCAGCACCGCUGCUAAUAUACACUUGCCACUGCUUUUUAUGACGACGAAAAGCAAUGGCCUUGCUCUCGGUUUUCGACGGAACUGAGGAGCAUCUGACAAGACAUUCGAAUUGAUGAAGCACAUGGGGAAACCAGGAUUUAGGUGAUGUCCGCCAGCUGACAGUAAACACCUAGCCGGGUUUGAACAUAUGGAAGAUCAAUUAAUGUUUUAAUGUAUUAGUUUUAGGUAUAGCUCUUUAAGAAUGGGGCUUAAGUACGUCAGGGAAUUAGUUAGGGAUGGUACCGGUCCUUCUGGACUUGUAGUUUGCAUCGUUCCCCAAUGACCAAAUAUAUUUGUAUAUAUUUGUUGAACAUUAAUGUUUUAAUGUAUUAGUUUUAGGUAUAGCUCUUUAAGAAUGGGGCUUAAGUACGUCAGGGAAUUAGUUAGGGAUGGUACCGGUCCUGCUGGACUUGUAGGUUGCAUCGUUCCCCAAUGAUCAAAUAUAUUUGUAUAUAUUUGUUGAACAAAUAAACAAAAAAUCUAAACAAA
Long non-coding RNA from Drosophila rhopaloa, 661 nucleotides. RefSeq lists it as uncharacterized. Lineage: Eukaryota; Metazoa; Arthropoda; Insecta; Diptera; Drosophilidae. The transcript has 5 exons. The record is from RefSeq and is a predicted model, not a curated record.